GAUGAACGCUGGSGGCGUGCCUAACACCWGCAAGUCGAGCGAUUYUYUUCGGAGAAGAGCGGCGGACGGGUGAGUAACGCGKGGGUAACCUSCCCUGUACACACGGAUAACAUACCGAAAGGUAUGCUAAUACGAGAUAAUAUAUAAGAGUSGCAUGACUUUUAUAUCAAAGAUUUUUCGGUACAGGAUGGACCCGCGUCUGAUUAGCUUGUUGGCGGGGGAACGGCCCACCAAGGGGACGAUCAGUAGCCGACCUGAGAGGGUGAUCGGCCACAUUGGAACUGAGACACGGUCCAAACUCSUACGGGAGGCAGCAGUGGGGAAUAUUGCACAAUGGGCGCAAGCCUGAUGCAGCAACGCCGCGUGAGCGAUGAAGGCCUUCGGGUSGUAAAKCUYUGUCMUCAAGGAAGAUA
RNAcentral lists this ribosomal RNA (413 nucleotides) under uncultured bacterium. Its description in RNAcentral is "partial 16S ribosomal RNA". It matches the Rfam family "Bacterial small subunit ribosomal RNA", at positions 28 to 450 of the family's 1533-position model. The record is from RNAcentral.